RNAcentral lists this ribosomal RNA (253 nucleotides) under uncultured bacterium. RNAcentral describes it as "partial 16S ribosomal RNA". It matches the Rfam family "Bacterial small subunit ribosomal RNA", at positions 524 to 776 of the family's 1533-position model. The record is from RNAcentral.
UACGAAGGGGGCUAGCGUUGUUCGGAUUUACUGGGCGUAAAGCGCACGUAGGCGGAUUGUUAAGUCAGGGGUGAAAUCCUGGAGCUCAACUCCAGAACUGCCUUUGAUACUGAAGAUCUUGAGUUCGGGAGAGGUGAGUGGAACUGCGAGUGUAGAGGUGAAAUUCGUAGAUAUUCGGAAGAACACCAGUGGCGAAGGCGGCUCACUGGUCCGGUACUGACGCUGAGGUGCGAAAGCGUGGGGAGCAAACAGG